UGUCCCGUUACUGGUCCCGAGAGUCGACGGACGCAAAACUUUCUUUGAAAUACCGUCACACCCACAUCCAUAUACUUCUACUUACAGUCCUGCGCACAGGGAAAUGGAAAUGGAGGGGUGAGCAACAAGUUACUCAGUGAAGUGGCUCUAGACCAGUCUGCCCGCAUGACACUCUAUACUACUCAAUGCGGGAACUAGGACUGACUAGCCACUACAAUCAUGUAAUGUAUUUUCAUCAUUUCAUAUCAUCAUCAUUAUUUCCAAACAUU
RNAcentral lists this long non-coding RNA (269 nucleotides) under Brassica napus (rape). RNAcentral's name for it is "long non-coding RNA (BNAP_LNC019991)". The record is from RNAcentral. Lineage: Eukaryota; Viridiplantae; Streptophyta; Magnoliopsida; Brassicales; Brassicaceae.